GCGAGAGUAGCUAAGCCUGGUCAACGGCGGCGGACUCAAGAUCCGCUCGUUUAGGCGUUCGUGGGUUCGAAUCCCACCUCUCGCACCA
This 88-nucleotide transfer RNA is filed under the name Nitrososphaerota archaeon. RNAcentral describes it as "Thaumarchaeota archaeon tRNA-Leu". It matches the Rfam family "tRNA". Rfam says of the family: Transfer RNA (tRNA) molecules are approximately 80 nucleotides in length. Their secondary structure includes four short double-helical elements and three loops (D, anti-codon, and T loops). Further hydrogen bonds mediate the characteristic L-shaped molecular structure. tRNAs have two regions of fundamental functional importance: the anti-codon, which is responsible for specific mRNA codon recognition, and the 3' end, to which the tRNAs corresponding amino acid is attached (by aminoacyl-tRNA synthetases). tRNAs cope with the degeneracy of the genetic code in two manners: having more than one tRNA (with a specific anti-codon) for a particular amino acid; and 'wobble' base-pairing, i.e. permitting non-standard base-pairing at the 3rd anti-codon position. The record is from RNAcentral. RNAcentral also lists the same sequence under 1 other name. Lineage: Archaea; Thermoproteati; Nitrososphaerota.